AACGAACGCUGGCGGCAUGCCUAACACAUGCAAGUCGAACGAGACCUUCGGGUCUAGUGGCGCACGGGUGCGUAACGCGUGGGAACCUGCCCUUAGGUUCGGAAUAACUCCCCGAAAGGGGUGCUAAUACCGGAUAAUGUCUUCGGACCAAAGAUUUAUCGCCUUUGGAUGGGCCCGCGUUGGAUUAGCUAGUUGGUAGGGUAAAAGCCUACCAAGGCGACGAUCCAUAGCUGGUCUGAGAGCAUGAUCAGCCACACUGGGACUGAGACACGGCCCAGACUCCUACGGGAAGCAGCAGUGGGGAAUAUUGGACAAUGGGCGAAAGCCUGAUCCAGCAAUGCCGCGUGAGUGAUGAAGGCCUUAGGGUUGUAAAGCUCUUUUACCCGGGAUGAUAAUGACAGUACCGGGAGAAUAAGCUCCGGCUAACUCCGUG
This 433-nucleotide ribosomal RNA is filed under the name uncultured bacterium. RNAcentral describes it as "partial 16S ribosomal RNA". It matches the Rfam family "Bacterial small subunit ribosomal RNA", at positions 29 to 507 of the family's 1533-position model. The record is from RNAcentral.